This 786-nucleotide ribosomal RNA is filed under the name uncultured bacterium. RNAcentral's name for it is "bacterial SSU rRNA". It matches the Rfam family "Bacterial small subunit ribosomal RNA", at positions 60 to 861 of the family's 1533-position model. The record is from RNAcentral.
AGUCGAACGGAGAACAUUGAGCUUGCUUAAUGUUCUUAGUGGCGGACGGGUGAGUAACACGUGAGUAACCUGCCCCUGAGAGUGGGAUAGCUUCUGGAAACGGAUGGUAAUACCGCAUAACAUCAUGGAUUCGCAUGUUUCUAUGAUCAAAGAUUUAUCGCUCAGAGAUGGACUCGCGUCUGAUUAGAUAGUUGGUGAGGUAACGGCCCACCAAGUCGACGAUCAGUAGCCGGACUGAGAGGUUGACCGGCCACAUUGGGACUGAGACACGGCCCAGACUCCUACGGGAGGCAGCAGUGGGGAAUAUUGCACAAUGGGGGAAACCCUGAUGCAGCGAUGCCGCGUGGAGGAAGAAGGUUUUCGGAUUGUAAACUCCUGUCGAAGAGGACGAUAAUGACGGUACUCUUCAAGAAAGCUCCGGCUAACUACGUGCCAGCAGCCGCGGUAAUACGUAGGGAGCGAGCGUUGUCCGGAAUUACUGGGUGUAAAGGGAGCGUAGGCGGGAUGGCAAGUCAGAUGUGAAAACUAUGGGCUCAACCCAUAGACUGCAUUUGAAACUGUUGUUCUUGAGUGAGGUAGAGGUAAGCGGAAUUCCUGGUGUAGCGGUGAAAUGCGUAGAGAUCAGGAGGAACAUCGGUGGCGAAGGCGGCUUACUGGGCCUUUACUGACGCUGAGGCUCGAAAGCGUGGGGAGCAAACAGGAUUAGAUACCCUGGUAGUCCACGCCGUAAACGAUGAUUACUAGGUGUGGGGGGACUGACCCCUUCCGUGCCGCAGUUAACACAAU